This 84-nucleotide transfer RNA is filed under the name Felis catus (domestic cat). It matches the Rfam family "tRNA". From Rfam's summary of the family: Transfer RNA (tRNA) molecules are approximately 80 nucleotides in length. Their secondary structure includes four short double-helical elements and three loops (D, anti-codon, and T loops). Further hydrogen bonds mediate the characteristic L-shaped molecular structure. tRNAs have two regions of fundamental functional importance: the anti-codon, which is responsible for specific mRNA codon recognition, and the 3' end, to which the tRNAs corresponding amino acid is attached (by aminoacyl-tRNA synthetases). tRNAs cope with the degeneracy of the genetic code in two manners: having more than one tRNA (with a specific anti-codon) for a particular amino acid; and 'wobble' base-pairing, i.e. permitting non-standard base-pairing at the 3rd anti-codon position. The record is from Rfam by way of RNAcentral. Lineage: Eukaryota; Metazoa; Chordata; Mammalia; Carnivora; Felidae.
GCCUGGAUGGCUCAAUCGGUUAAGCAUCCGACUUCGGCUCAGAUUUGAUCUCGCCGUUUGUGGGUUCGAGCCCCGCGUCGGGCU